Molecule: transfer RNA, 76 nt
Filed under: Hyphomicrobiales bacterium
Lineage: Bacteria; Pseudomonadati; Pseudomonadota; Alphaproteobacteria; Hyphomicrobiales
Description: tRNA-Ala
Rfam family: tRNA
About the family: Transfer RNA (tRNA) molecules are approximately 80 nucleotides in length. Their secondary structure includes four short double-helical elements and three loops (D, anti-codon, and T loops).
Source: RNAcentral
GGGGCCGUAGCUCAGUUGGGAGAGCGCGACGUUCGCAAUGUCGAGGCCGGCGGUUCGAUCCCGCCCGGCUCCACCA